UACGUAGGAGGCAAGCGUUGUCCGGAAUUACUGGGCGUAAAGCGCGUGUAGGUGGUGGGACAAGUCUGCUGUGAAAGCGCCUGGCUUAACCGGGCGAGGUCGGCGGAAACUGUCCGACUCGAGGACGGUAGAGGGGGGUGGAAUUCCCGGUGUAGUGGCGAAAUGCGUAGAGAUCGGGAGGAACACCUGUGGCGAAGGCGGCCCCCUGGGCCGGCCCUGACACUGAGACGCGAAGGCGUGGGGGAGCGAACGGG
This 254-nucleotide ribosomal RNA is filed under the name uncultured bacterium. RNAcentral's name for it is "partial 16S ribosomal RNA". It matches the Rfam family "Bacterial small subunit ribosomal RNA", at positions 524 to 776 of the family's 1533-position model. The record is from RNAcentral.